CCUACGGGUGGCAGCAGUGGGGAAUAUUGCACAAUGGGGGAAACCCUGAUGCAGCGACGCCGCGUGAAGGAAGAAGUAUUUCGGUAUGUAAACUUCUAUCAGAGGGGAAGAAAAUGACGGUACCUGACUAAGAAGCCCCGGCUAACUACGUGCCUGCAGCCGCGGUAAUACGUAGGGGGCAAGCGUUAUCGGGAUUUACUGGGUGUAAAGGGAGCGUAGGCGGUUUAGCAAGUCAGAAGUGAAAGCCCGGGGCUCAACUCCGGGACUGCUUUUGAAGCUGUUGAACUAGAGUGCAGGAGAGGUAAGUGGAAUUCCUAGUGUAGCGGUGAAAUGCGUAGAUAUUAGGAGGAACACCAGUGGCGAAGGCGGCUUACUGGACUGUAAAUGACGCUGAGGCUCGAAAGCGUGGGGAGCAAACAGGAUUAGAUACCCUGGUAGUC
RNAcentral lists this ribosomal RNA (440 nucleotides) under uncultured bacterium. Its description in RNAcentral is "partial 16S ribosomal RNA". It matches the Rfam family "Bacterial small subunit ribosomal RNA", at positions 338 to 795 of the family's 1533-position model. The record is from RNAcentral.